RNAcentral lists this ribosomal RNA (373 nucleotides) under uncultured organism. Its description in RNAcentral is "partial 16S ribosomal RNA". It matches the Rfam family "Bacterial small subunit ribosomal RNA", at positions 527 to 896 of the family's 1533-position model. The record is from RNAcentral.
GGAGGGUGCAAGCGUUGUUCGGAAUUACUGGGCGUAAAGCGCGUGUAGGCGGCUUGGAAAGUCGGAUGUGAAAUCCCGGGGCCCAACCCCGGAACUGCAUCCGAAACUGCCUCGCUAGAGUCCCGGAGAGGAAGGCAGAAUUCCCGGUGUAGGGGUGAAAUCCGUAGAUAUCGGGAGGAAUACCAGCGGCGAAGGCGGCCUUCUGGACGGUGACUGACGCUGAGACGCGAAAGCGUGGGGAGCAAACAGGAUUAGAUACCCUGGGUAGUCCACGCCGUAAACGUUGAGUGCUAGGUGUCGCGGGUAUUGACCCCCUGCGGUGCCGUCGUUAACGCAUUUAGCACUCCGCCUGGGGAGUACGGUCGCAAGGCUA